UGGAAGUAAAAGUCGUAACAAGGUCUCCGUUGGUGAACCAGCGGAGGGAUCAUUACUGAGUUACCGCUCUAUAACCCUUUGUGAACAUACCUAUACGUUGCUUCGGCGGCCGUCCCCCGGGGCGUCCGCCGGAGGAUAACCAAACUCUGAUUUAACGACGUUUCUUCUGAGUGGCACAAGCAAAUAAUCAAAACUUUUAACAACGGAUCUCUUGGUUCUGGCAUCGAUGAAGAACGCAGCGAAAUGCGAUAAGUAAUGUGAAUUGCAGAAUUCAGUGAAUCAUCGAAUCUUUGAACGCACAUUGCGCCCGCCAGCAUUCUGGCGGGCAUGCCUGUUCGAGCGUCAUUUCAACCCUCAAGCACUGCUUGGUGUUGGGGCUCUACGGUUGACGUAGGCCCCCAAAACUAGUGGCGGACCCUCUCGGAGCCUCCUUUGCGUAGUAACUUUUGUCUCGCACUGGGAUUCGGAGGGACUCUAGCCGUUAAACCCCCCAAUUUUUUAAAGGUGACCUCGGAUCAGGU
Molecule: ribosomal RNA, 521 nt
Filed under: fungal sp. GZ-2010a
Lineage: Eukaryota; Fungi
Description: eukaryotic LSU rRNA
Rfam family: 5.8S ribosomal RNA (bases 192-345)
Source: RNAcentral